UACGGAGGGUGCAAGCGUUAAUCGGAAUUACUGGGCGUAAAGCGUGCGCAGGCGGUUUGUUAAGUCUGCUGUGAAAUCCCCGAGCUCAACUUGGGAAUUGCAGUGGAUACUGGCAGGCUGGAGUAUGGUAGAGGAAGGUGGAAUUCCCGGUGUAGCGGUGAAAUGCGUAGAGAUCGGGAGGAACACCGGCGGCGAAGGCGGCUGCCUGGACCAGUCCUGACGCUGAGGCGCGAAAGCUAGGGGAGCAAACAGG
RNAcentral lists this ribosomal RNA (253 nucleotides) under uncultured bacterium. Its description in RNAcentral is "partial 16S ribosomal RNA". It matches the Rfam family "Bacterial small subunit ribosomal RNA", at positions 524 to 776 of the family's 1533-position model. The record is from RNAcentral.